UAUCUCUGUAGAGUCUGCAUAUCAAUAAGCGGAGGAAAAGAAACUAACUAGGAUUCCCUCAGUAACGGCGAGUGAAGCGGGAAGAGCUCAAAUUUGAAAUCUUCAAGGUUCUACCUUGACGAAUUGUAGUUUAAAGAAGUGUUUUCUGUUGGAGUUUUGGUAAAAGUUCUUUGGAAUAGGACAUCAUAGAGGGUGAGAAUCCCGUAUUUGACCAUUACUUUCCAACUUUGUGAUACACUUUCAAAGAGUCGGAUUGUUUGGGAAUGCAGUCCAAAAUGGGUGGUAAAUUUCAUCUAAAGCUAAAUAUUGGCGAGAGACCGAUAGCGAACAAGUACCUGUGAGGGAAAGAUGAAAAGAACUUUGAAAAGAGAGUUAAACAGUACGUGAAAUUGUCAAAAGGGAAGCGUUUGACACCAGUGUUGUUUUCUCGAAAAUCAAUUAAAAAAGGCAGAAUUUUGUGUUGUAUUGACUUUAUCAGCUUUCUGCACUCUUUUCUUGUCUUUUUUAAUGCACUUUUCGUUUAACAAGUCAACAUCAAUUUCUUUUGUUGUAAAAGGGUCAUUGGAAGGUGGCUUUCUUUUCGGAGAAAGUGUUUAUAGCCUUUGGCCUCUGCAAUCGGAGAGAUUGAGGUCUGCAGCGUAGAUCCUUCGGGGUUAGAUACAUUUGUGCUAAGUUAUAGCCUUUCAUAGACAACUUGUUGACUAUGAUCAGUCAUGUAGCUUACUCGCUUAUGCUAUUUUACCUACGCUUAGGAUGUUGACGAUCAGCUGAGCGCG
RNAcentral lists this ribosomal RNA (776 nucleotides) under uncultured Neocallimastigales. RNAcentral's name for it is "partial large subunit ribosomal RNA". It matches the Rfam family "Eukaryotic large subunit ribosomal RNA", at positions 24 to 627 of the family's 3401-position model. The record is from RNAcentral. Lineage: Eukaryota; Fungi; Neocallimastigomycota; Neocallimastigomycetes; Neocallimastigales.